UCCCCUGUGGUGUAAUUGGCAACACGGGUCACUUUGGAUGAUUUGUUCCAGGUUCGAGUCCUGGCAGGGGAGCCA
This 75-nucleotide transfer RNA is filed under the name Streptomyces litmocidini. RNAcentral describes it as "tRNA-Gln". It matches the Rfam family "tRNA". From Rfam's summary of the family: Transfer RNA (tRNA) molecules are approximately 80 nucleotides in length. Their secondary structure includes four short double-helical elements and three loops (D, anti-codon, and T loops). Lineage: Bacteria; Bacillati; Actinomycetota; Actinomycetes; Kitasatosporales; Streptomycetaceae. RNAcentral also lists the same sequence under 15 other names. The record is from RNAcentral.